Molecule: long non-coding RNA, 464 nt
Organism: Trematomus bernacchii (emerald rockcod)
Lineage: Eukaryota; Metazoa; Chordata; Actinopteri; Perciformes; Nototheniidae
Exons: 2
Source: RefSeq, a predicted model, not a curated record
UUUAGGAUCAGACCUUGUUUUUGUAAGGGAUUAAAUGAACAAAUCUUAUGUAUGAUUUAGUUUUUGAGGGAUGCUCUUGUGUACCUGGUGGCGGGGGCGGCCCACGAUGGAGGGAAGACGGCUCUGGGAGCAUCGUCUCCAGCGAAGCCAGUCUUCACCAGGCCGGAGCCGUUGUCACAGACGAGGGCGGUGGUCUCUUCAUCGUCACACAUGUCUGCGGCUUCUGGAGGAGGAAAUGAGGAGGUGUGUCUGGGUCCUGUUAAUACUUAAAUCUGAACAACGUGCAACAACGCACAGUUAGAGGACUGUAAGAGGCAAACCGAGGGGAAGUAAAAGGUGAGCCGCUUCUUGAAGUUUCCUGAGCUGCCAUGUGUGCUCAGAGACUUUCAGAGAUCCUGUGUCUCUGAGCUGCAACCACAGCUUCUGUUCGAGCUGCCUGCAGACAUUCUGGGAACAAAGUAAGA